GGUGCGACCGGAUGAUGGUCCUCAACGACCGUACAUUUUACACUGGUCGGUGGGAUUUUCGUCCGCUUGUAAC
Molecule: microRNA precursor, 73 nt
Filed under: Lucilia cuprina (Australian sheep blowfly)
Lineage: Eukaryota; Metazoa; Arthropoda; Insecta; Diptera; Calliphoridae
Description: mir-278 microRNA precursor family
Rfam family: mir-278 microRNA precursor family
Source: Rfam by way of RNAcentral